RNAcentral lists this long non-coding RNA (400 nucleotides) under Dasypus novemcinctus (nine-banded armadillo). Its description in RNAcentral is "lncRNA (ENSDNOG00000051753.1)". The record is from RNAcentral. Lineage: Eukaryota; Metazoa; Chordata; Mammalia; Cingulata; Dasypodidae.
CGUCAUCAGCCCAGCGACGGAAGCCAAACCCUGAAAAAACCACCGCAGAAAAGCUGGAGGAUGGUAGAGACUGGAGAAGGGUUCCACAAAUGCCGAAUUGAGGAGAGAACUAUCAGAUCCAGUACUCUAAACCUGAAAGUGGACAUGCAUUGUUAAGGUAACUUGUAGUUGGUGCAGCUUUGCUUUCCUUCUGCUUGUCUGAUUGUGAGUGAAAAUCCAGAGGAAGAUAGAUGCCGGCUAAGGUCUUGGCAAUGCAAACACAUGUGAGUAUGUAAUUCUUCUUCAACUGAAAUUGGACCUCAGUUGCCAGCAGAUGGGAAGAUUUCUCUUCUUGGUAUAAAUAUUUCAAGUGUACUCAGGAAUUAUUCAAGGAUCUUAGCUUAAGUUUAUAUAGGACUCU